This 534-nucleotide non-coding RNA is filed under the name Pseudoselenomonas ruminantium. Its description in RNAcentral is "Selenomonas ruminantium Bacterial small subunit ribosomal RNA". It matches the Rfam family "Bacterial small subunit ribosomal RNA", at positions 1 to 406 of the family's 1533-position model. Lineage: Bacteria; Bacillati; Bacillota; Negativicutes; Selenomonadales; Selenomonadaceae. The record is from Rfam by way of RNAcentral.
UUUAUGGAGAGUUUGAUCCUGGCUCAGGACGAACGCUGGCGGCGUGCUUAACACAUGCAAGUCGAACGAGCAGAUUUUCAGCACUGAAUGCUUGAGGCAUUAACUUCGAGCGUCGUGACGACGAAGUCGUCACCACACCUUUUAUUAGUGCUUAACUUAACUGGACGGUUGAGUCGGAAUCGAGCAUUGAGUGCUGGAAAGAUGCGAGUGGCAAACGGGUGAGUAACGCGUAGACAACCUGCCGCAAAGAUGGGGACAACAGUCCGAAAGGACUGCUAAUACCGAAUGUUGUCAGUUUCUCGCAUGAGAGACUGAUUAAAGAUGGCCUCUACUUGUAAGCUAUCGCUUUGCGAUGGGUCUGCGUCUGAUUAGCUAGUUGGUGGGGUAACGGCCUACCAAGGCGACGAUCAGUAGCCGGUCUGAGAGGAUGAACGGCCACAUUGGAACUGAGACACGGUCCAGACUCCUACGGGAGGCAGCAGUGGGGAAUCUUCCGCAAUGGGCGAAAGCCUGACGGAGCAACGCCGCGUGAGU